AGUGAACGCUGGCGGUAGGCCUAACACAUGCCAGUCGAACGGCAGCACAGUAAGAGCUUGCUCUUACGGGUGGCGAGUGGCGGACGGGUGAGGAAUACAUCGGAAUCUACUUUUUCGUGGGGGAUAACGUAGGGAAACUUACGCUAAUACCGCAUACGACCUACGGGUGAAAGCAGGGGAUCUUCGGACCUUGCUCGAUUGAAUGAGCCGAUGUCGGAUUAGCUAGUUGGCGGGGUAAAGGCCCACCAAGGCGACGAUCCGUAGCUGGUCUGAGAGGAUGAUCAGCCACACUGGAACUGAGACACGGUCCAGACUCCUACGGGAGGCAGCAGUGGGGAAUAUUGGACAAUGGGCGCAAGCCUGAUCCAGCCAUACCGCGUGGGUGAAGAAGGCCUUCGGGUUGUAAAGCCCUUUUGUUGGGAAAGAAAAGCAGCAGGUUAAUACCCCGCUGUUCUGACGGUACCCAAAGAAUAAGCACCGGCUAACUUCGUG
This 492-nucleotide ribosomal RNA is filed under the name uncultured bacterium. Its description in RNAcentral is "partial 16S ribosomal RNA". It matches the Rfam family "Bacterial small subunit ribosomal RNA", at positions 29 to 507 of the family's 1533-position model. The record is from RNAcentral.